GCCGAUAUAGCUCAGCGGUAGAGCACUUCCUUGGUAAGGAAGAGGUCACGAGUUCAAGUCUCGUUAUCGGCU
This 72-nucleotide transfer RNA is filed under the name Flavobacteriales bacterium. RNAcentral's name for it is "tRNA-Thr". It matches the Rfam family "tRNA". From Rfam's summary of the family: Transfer RNA (tRNA) molecules are approximately 80 nucleotides in length. The record is from RNAcentral. Lineage: Bacteria; Pseudomonadati; Bacteroidota; Flavobacteriia; Flavobacteriales.